RNAcentral lists this long non-coding RNA (219 nucleotides) under Lathyrus oleraceus (garden pea). RNAcentral describes it as "Pisum sativum (pea) long non-coding RNA (PSAT_LNC003576)". The record is from RNAcentral. Lineage: Eukaryota; Viridiplantae; Streptophyta; Magnoliopsida; Fabales; Fabaceae.
AUAAAUACAUUUGUAUCAUUCCAAUUCAAGGUUAAUGCCAAAAUCUAUACUCAUCAAAUAUUACUCUAUUCUCUCUAAUUCUCUCUCAACUUCAUCUUCCCCAAUCUUCUUUUCUUCCACCAUUAUUUUCAAUUUUCAGUUUUAUAUAUUAUGUUCCAACAUUAAUACCAUAAAAAAAAACUAAAUCGAUAUCAUCAUGAGAAACAUAACCACACAAUG